AUUGAACGCUGGCGGCAUGCCUUACACAUGCAAGUCGAACGGCAGCGCGGGGCAACCUGGCGGCGAGUGGCGAACGGGUGAGUAAUAUAUCGGAACGUACCCUGGAGUGGGGGAUAACGUAGCGAAAGUUACGCUAAUACCGCAUACGAUCUAAGGAUGAAAGUGGGGGAUCGCAAGACCUCAUGCUCCUGGAGCGGCCGAUAUCUGAUUAGCUAGUUGGUGGGGUAAAGGCCUACCAAGGCAUCGAUCAGUAGCUGGUCUGAGAGGACGACCAGCCACACUGGAACUGAGACACGGUCCAGACUCCUACGGGAGGCAGCAGUGGGGAAUUUUGGACAAUGGGCGAAAGCCUGAUCCAGCAAUGCCGCGUGAGUGAAGAAGGCCUUCGGGUUGUAAAGCUCUUUUGUCAGGGAAGAAACGGUGAGAGCUAAUAUCUUUUGCUAAUGACGGUACCUGAAGAAUAAGCACCGGCUAACUACGUGCCAGCAGCCGCGGUAAUACGUAGGGUGCAAGCGUUAAUCGGAAUUACUGGGCGUAAAGCGUGCGCAGGCGGUUUUGUAAGUUUGUCGUGAAAGCCCCGGGCUCAACCUGGGAAUUGCGAUGAAGACUGCAAGGCUUGAAUCUGGCAGAGGGGGGUAGAAUUCCACGUGUAGCAGUGAAAUGCGUAGAGAUGUGGAGGAACACCGAUGGCGAAGGCAGCCCCCUGGGUCAAGAUUGACGCUCAUGCACGAAAGCGUGGGGAGCAAACAGGAUUAGAUACCCUGGUAGUCCACGCCCUAAACGAUGUCUACUAGUUGUCGGGUUUUAAUUAACUUGGUAACGCAGCUAACGCGUGAAGUAGACCGCCUGGGGAGUACGGUCGCAAGAUUAAAACUCAAAGGAAUUGACGGGGACCCGCACAAGCGGUGGAUGAUGUGGAUUAAUUCGAUGCAACGCGAAAAACCUUACCUACCCUUGACAUGUACGGAAGCUUGGAGAGAUCUGAGUGUGCUCGAAAGAGAGCCGUAACACAGGUGCUGCAUGGCUGUCGUCAGCUCGUGUCGUGAGAUGUUGGGUUAAGUCCCGCAACGAGCGCAACCCUUGUCAUUAGUUGCUACGAAAGAGCACUCUAAUGAGACUGCCGGUGACAAACCGGAGGAAGGUGGGGAUGACGUCAAGUCCUCAUGGCCCUUAUGGGUAGGGCUUCACACGUCAUACAAUGGUACAUACAGAGGGCCGCCAACCCGCGAGGGGGAGCUAAUCCCAGAAAGUGUAUCGUAGUCCGGAUUGUAGUCUGCAACUCGACUACAUGAAGUUGGAAUCGCUAGUAAUCGCGGAUCAGCAUGUCGCGGUGAAUACGUUCCCGGGUCU
This 1350-nucleotide ribosomal RNA is filed under the name uncultured bacterium. RNAcentral describes it as "bacterial SSU rRNA". It matches the Rfam family "Bacterial small subunit ribosomal RNA", at positions 28 to 1381 of the family's 1533-position model. The record is from RNAcentral.